GUGCUCGCUUCAGCAGCAUAUAUACUAAAAUUGGAAUAAUACAGAGAAGAUUAGCAUGGCCCUGAAAAAAAAAAAAAGAAUGAACUAUUGAUACACACAACAACCUG
Small nuclear RNA from Balaenoptera acutorostrata (minke whale), 107 nucleotides. Lineage: Eukaryota; Metazoa; Chordata; Mammalia; Artiodactyla; Balaenopteridae. The record is from RefSeq and is a predicted model, not a curated record.